CCUACGGGGGGCAGCAGUGGGGAAUAUUGCACAAUGGGGGAAACCCUGAUGCAGCGACGCCGCGUGAGCGAAGAAGUAUUUCGGUAUGUAAAGCUCUAUCAGCAGGAAAGAAAAUGACGGUACCUGACUAAGAAGCUCCGGCUAAAUACGUGCCAGCAGCCGCGGUAAUACGUAUGGAGCAAGCGUUAUCCGGAUUUACUGGGUGUAAAGGGAGCGCAGGCGGUCUGGCAAGUCUGGUGUGAAAGGCCGGGGCUCAACCCCGGGACUGCAUUGGAAACUGUCAGACUAGAGUGUCGGAGAGGUAAGCGGAAUUCCUAGUGUAGCGGUGAAAUGCGUAGAUAUUAGGAGGAACACCAGUGGCGAAGGCGGCUUACUGGACGAUGACUGACGCUGAGGCUCGAAAGCGUGGGGAGCAAACAGGAUUAGAUACCCUUGUA
Molecule: ribosomal RNA, 437 nt
Filed under: uncultured bacterium
Lineage: Bacteria
Description: bacterial SSU rRNA
Rfam family: Bacterial small subunit ribosomal RNA
Source: RNAcentral